CUUCAAGAAAUGAUAAGAGGUGGCUCUCCUGUUAUUUAUGACAAGGACAAGAAGUCUCGUUUUGGAAUUCUUGCAAAGAAUGCUAGUGAUGCUAAGGAUAUUAUCUGGGUGGAAUCACCGGACACUUUCUGCUUCCAUUUAUGGAAUGCAUGGGAGGAGCCGGAAUCCGAUGAAGUAGUGGUAAUCGGAUCUUGCAUGACUCCACCGGACUCCAUCUUCAACGAAAGCGACGAGAGUUUAGAGAGCGUAUUAUCAGAAAUCAGGCUCAAUUUGAAGACGGGUAAGUCCACGCGCCGCCCCAUAAUUAAAGAAUCAAACCAAGUGAAUUUAGAGGCC
RNAcentral lists this unclassified non-coding RNA (336 nucleotides) under Hevea brasiliensis (rubber tree). The record is from RNAcentral. Lineage: Eukaryota; Viridiplantae; Streptophyta; Magnoliopsida; Malpighiales; Euphorbiaceae.